GACGAACGCUGGCGGCGUGCUUAACACAUGCAAGUCGAACGGAAAGGCCCUGCUUUUGUGGGGUGCUCGAGUGGCGAACGGGUGGGUAACACGUGAGUAACCUGCCCUUGACUUUGGGAUAACUUCAGGAAACUGGGGCUAAUACCGGAUAGGAGCUCCUGCUGCAUGGUGGGGGUUGGAAAGUUUCGGCGGUUGGGGAUGGACUCGCGGCUUAUCAGCUUGUUGGUGGGGUAGUGGCUUACCAAGGCUUUGACGGGUAGCCGGCCUGAGAGGGUGACCGGCCACAUUGGGACUGAGAUACGGCCCAGACUCCUACGGGAGGCAGCAGUGGGGAAUAUUGCACAAUGGGCGGAAGCCUGAUGCAGCAACGCCGCGUGCGGGAUGACGGCCUUCGGGUUGUAAACCGCUUUCGCCUGCGACGAAGCGUGAGUGACGGUAAUGGGUAAAGAAGCACCGGCUAACUACGUG
This 468-nucleotide ribosomal RNA is filed under the name uncultured bacterium. RNAcentral describes it as "partial 16S ribosomal RNA". It matches the Rfam family "Bacterial small subunit ribosomal RNA", at positions 28 to 507 of the family's 1533-position model. The record is from RNAcentral.